RNAcentral lists this long non-coding RNA (13225 nucleotides) under Triticum aestivum (bread wheat). RNAcentral describes it as "long non-coding RNA (TAES_LNC026739)". The record is from RNAcentral. Lineage: Eukaryota; Viridiplantae; Streptophyta; Magnoliopsida; Poales; Poaceae.
AUUAUUAUUAUUAUUAUUAUUUAUACUAAUAUACUAAUUAUACUAUACUAAUACUAAUAAACAAGCAAACAAGAACUUCGCUAAGUACACCCGGCAACUUGUCCCACAAAACGCACGGAACAAUCAACACCACACAAUUAUACCCGCGCAUCUAAAUCUAACAGCCAUCAUUCAUUUGCUGCCUGUACGGUGUGGACUUAGGAAAUACCCUUGACUGACCGUGCUCCACCUCCAGCACCCCCCAUCCACCCCCUACAAUCACGCUGUACUCCAGGUAAAUAAGGAAACAACAUUAAUUCGUCAUCACACCACGCUGAUCUCCUGGUAAAAUAAGGAAACAAAAUUAAUUCGACAUCGCACCGUCGCACCAUCGCCAAUGUCAUCGCCAUUGUUGCCGACCAACGUGGAGACCGUCCGCGAGCAGCGUCGCUUCCUUCCCCGAGGUCGCCAGGGCAGCGACGCCACAGAACUUCUAGCAAGGUCGCCAGGGCAGCGACGCCAGGGAACACCCAGGAUCCUGCCCUCGCAGCGUGGCAUCCCUACGGGAGAUCCCCACUGGUACAGCCCGCCCUGCCCGUCGCAGCCAGCCGGAUACACGCAGCUGUAAAAUUCUUCUCUCCACUUUAGUCUAAACUUCUUCCUUCGACCUGCUUCUUCCUUUGACCUGUUGCAUCAAUACUCCAAUUUGUUAUUUUCAGAAUAUAUAGUUCUAAAAUAUACACGCGCGCACAUCACAAUACUACACAUCUGUAUCGAUUUCCAGCCUAACUGAUACAUGCAUCCUAUGUCCUAGACCUGGUGUGAACUAAAAUAGCCAUUCAUAUUUUAGAGUUGUGGUUUCGAAGUUAUUUGUAAAUUUAAUCCAUAUGAACAUUAUUCUUUUACUUACUUCGUUAACAUAUGUGCCAAUAUGUUCGCACCAUACCCUCAGGGCCAUUACCUUGACUGUCCAUUCUAGAUAAUUAAGCUCCAAGGCACUUGAUCAAUUGACAACUGUAAAAAACAGGUUGCAAGUGCAUGUGAUGCCUACUUACUUUCUGAUGAAGUCAUAACCAUCUGCAUACUUGGUUGCCUGAUUUUAUUUUAAAUGGAGUUGUAUGCGUUGGUAAGAAAUUAAGGUGUUUGUAAACUUGGUGAGACUAUCUUGACGACAAAGGGAGGGGACAAACUAUAGCCGCUCUUAUCCCCUUAGAGGGAGAGGUUAGGAGAGAACAAACCAUGUCUUUAGUCUAAACUUCUUCCUUCGACCUGCUUCUUCCUUUGACCUGUUGAAUCAAUACUCGGAAUUGUAACUUUCAGAAUAUAUAAUUCUAAAAUAUAAACAUGUGCACAUCACAAUACUACACAUCUGUAGCUAAUGUUUAUUGACCUGUUGCAGCAAUACUCAGAAUUGUAAUUUUCAAAAUAUAUAGUUCUAAAAUAUACACAUGUGCACAACACAAUACUACACAUCUGUAGCGAUUUCCAGCCUAACUGACACAUGCAUCCUAUGUCCUAUACCUGGCGUGAACUAAAAUAGCAAUUCAUAUUUUAGAUUACAUCUAGCAGUGGGGAUAAAAAAUAUAGCUUCAUUGUCCCAAGUAGAUACGUCAGGAUAAAGAAUAGAAGUUAAUUUCCGCACCAAUAAAUCACAAUUUCUGUACCUGCCAAAGCAACAUUCUAUGUUUGCGGCUCAACGGCAGGGCCAAUAUCAUCUUCUGCCUUCUGUUUUUGUGUAAGUGAACAGGAGGGCCAACCACUGAGAGUGGUCCUGCAAGGAGACCUGUCAUUACAACUUCCUAUUAAUAAUGUAAAUACGACUUUGAUGAAGCACAUUAUCAACUUCCCAAUUUUUUAUGAUAGCAAUAUUCAUAUGUAGGCCAAGGGUAUGUCAUCUCCCAAGAGUGCGGGAGCGCGCACCCCAUUUCAGGAUCUAAAUAACAACCGACUAUUGGGUAAUUAUCGUCAGCCUUUUCCUAAAAAUGUCAUACUGUAUUUGUUGGUGCUUAUAUCCUAACUUGCGGUAUGUACUUAUAUCCUAACUUGCGGUAUCUACUUAUGCAGACCCCAAAGAAUUGAAGAAGCAGAGGAACAGAGAGUACUAUGCACGCAAUAAAGAUGAUAUCCUUAAAAGACGGCGUGAGGCCCGUGAGAAGAAACAGGCUUCAACAACACUGCUUAACGUCGAUCAAAAUGUACCUCAUACACCCCAGCCGUUGGCCCGAGGUAAAAUUUCCCUUACACUGCAUUCUUAUGUAUUGGUCCAAAAACUUAUAAGAUGCAUGCACCAAACUAACAACAAUAUGUCAUAGAUAUGGACCCUAACGAACUGCAGAGCCAACUGGUUGGGAUACAGUAUUCACAGAACAUAGAUGGUGUCUUCGAGAGACAACAUCAAGCCUAUAGUGAUAUUGAAAUGACCGGUGUGGAUGGCGAUGUCAAUGAACAAGAAAAUGAAACAGUUACACCGGUGCCCAUGUACAUCGGUAAUGCUGAUCAACAAAGUAUAUACAACCCUAUGUGUUCAUACUAAUUAACUUUAUUACACAUAUAUGCAGACCCUAAGGAGUUGAGGAGGCAAAGGAACAGGGAGCGGUAUGCACAAAAUAGGGAUGAGAUAUUAAAUCGACAACGCCUAUCCCGUGAAAAGAGAAAAAUUAGUACUGGCCUCAACGAUGAUAACACUGUGUCGCAAACACCACCUACAGGACAAUCCGGUGUCACCCAGCUACAUAAAAUGACAGGUUCGGGUGUACCAUAAAAUAUACCUUUUGGGUGGGAGGUCCUGCAUGUACUUGCAUGUUCACACCUCAUCGAAUAUGCCAGAAAAAAUGGGUACUCAUGUGGUGCUGCAAUUUUAUGGCAGGCUUGUCAAAUAUACAAAUUUCGUCUCAUGAACAAAUCCCAAUCGACAAGGAAAAUUAUUUAACCUGCGAUGAUGAAUCCAAUUGGUUGCAUAGGAAUGAUGCGUAUCAGAGGCAACUAAUAGCAGGAAGCUCAAAAGGUAAAUUUAACUGGCUUUGCCUUCCGGUCCAGCCACCAUUCUGAUUGUAAUCAUCUUCUGUGCGAAAAUUAAUUGUACAUGCAGGACCUCCCACCCAAAUUUCUGGAGUUCAGGUACCACAAAUGAGCAUAAUACGUGAGCCAGAUUUCAUAACUGAGCAUGCUGGUUAGUUCGUCCGUGCAGUUAUGAUGUUGGGGCGCCCACAGUGUAUAUUUGAUAAAAAAAUCCCUGAUUUUCGAUUGUUUCUUCAGGUAUACAACCUUUUAGCGGAUCCAACCAACUUCAAAAUACGCCGGAAUAUGAUACGAUCCGGCCUGCGCAACCGGAUCCACUAGGUACUAAUAACACUACUAAUAUGAUAUGGGAUUUUGAAGAUUCAGCAUGCUUAUGCUCUACUAAUCUUAUGAUUUUUUAUAGUGGGCAAUGACCAGAAAGAUGAUCCAUAUGGGAUUUUUGAACCUGUUGUUGAACUAAACAACUUACAAGGUAUAUUGUAUAUACUAUCAUACACACAUACAGGUCAUCAUACAUAAAUUUGAGUCAUUUCUGUAUGACCAAUAUAUUCCCUACUAGACUGCUUGGAGCCAUUGCAUAAUGGAGAAGCUGCAUACCAUGAGCCUGAUGAAGAAGCUAGAAUAUUUAUGGAUCAGGGUAUGUGCACUGCGUAUUUUCUAAUUUACCAAUCUAAAAUGCACAUAUUAUGGGUAUUUACUGAUAAAAUACAUGUGUUGUCCUGUGCUAGAUGUUGCUUUUGAAUCGUACCAAAUUGGACAGCAUCCUACCCGAGCAGUACCCGUAGCAAAUACCGAUGACUUCAUAUACCGAAACCUACCUACAAGGCACCAUGUCCUAAGAAAGGUUGCGGACUGUCGCCACUGUGGGGCGUUGCGGUUUCCAUUCGAGGGGCCAGCAUUUUGUUGCAGAAAAGGAAAAGUCGAUUUGUUUACUCCAGAUGUUCCAGAAGAGUUGAAACGGUUGUUUACAAGUCAAGAUGAUGAGGAUGCUAAGUACUUCAGAGAACAUAUACGGUAUUUCAACUCGCACUUCUCAUUCACAAGUCUAGGCGUCACCCUUGAUCGUCGAGUAAGCACUGCGGCAGGAACUGGCAUAUAUACAUUCCGUGCAUGUGGUGGGCUGUACCAUGCUCUUGACAAUCUGGUGCCGGCUAAUAAUGGCCCUCGACAUUUGCAACUCUAUAUUUAUGAUACAGAUCAAAACUUGGUACACAGGGCUAAUAGGUCUCCAGAUCUUAAUAUAGACCUCAUACGAAAGAUUCAGAAUACUACAGCAUAACCCUUAUGCGCAAGUUUUGAAGAGCCUAGGGUCUAUUCCGAAUCUACAUGAGUAUAGAAUCUCACUAAACACGGAUAUCAAGUUAGAUCAGCGAAGGUACAAUGGCCCUACGACUUCCCAAGUGGCAGCCAUAUGGGUUGAAGGGAGUGACCCACAAAAUUGCUUUGACAGGAGUGUUGUUGUGCAUGGAAAAACAGGAAACCGACCACUGUAUAUUAGAGAAUACUAUGGGUGCUAUGACCCAUUGUCAUAUCCACUGUUUUUCCCACGUGGAGAGACUGGCUGGAAUCGUUGCAUGCCAUAUAUUCGGCCACAAGAUGACACGAACCAAAAUUCAAUACAUACUCCUGCAUUGCAAGGAAACCAAGCCUCUGUCGAACAUAUAGGUAUGAUGUUCACUUUUAUUUUAUAUACAAGCUAUUUGUGAAGGAUGAUGACAGCUUUUAUGUAUCAGUUGAAGACUUGAUUAAAGAAAGAGAAGAAGAUGGUAAUUUGGCACUGCAUGAAGCCGGUAAUCAUGCACCACAAGGAAACCAAGCCCCUGAAUUAUAUACAGGUAUGAUGUGAACUAUUAAUUUAUAUACUUUCUGUUUUCCACAAUGAUGCUCAAAACUUGUGUUUUCAUAUACAUCUGUCAUAUCUAUCAGAUGGGAACUUCAUUAGAGAAAUAGAACAAGAUGGGAAUUUUACAGCGCAUGACGCCCAUGGCACUGAUUUACCUUCGGGUAUUAUUCACUUAUUCUUCAAUUAUUAUGUUGUCGAUCAUUAUGAAUAUUGUUGAUGACUACAAGUCCACCCACCUUAUUGAUAUUGAUCUCAAACUUGUAGAUGACAAUGAGGAUAACCCAGAUGACGAAUUUGGUGACAAUGAGGUCAAUGCAAAACAAUCCAGAAAAUUUGUUAGUACUAGGGAGUACUACUGCUUCAAGCUGCAAGUCAGGAGGAAGCUUUUUAACAUCAUCUUGUUCGGUCAUCGCCUUUUCCAACAGUGGGCUGUUGACAUGUAUAUCAAGAUUGAAACUAUGCGACUUGAUUGGUACUCAAAGCCGGAAAAUCAAAAGGUUAUACGCGCUGACCUCUACCAGGUAGUGUUCUUGUGUUUAUUUUAAUACAGCAUAAUGCAAUGACAUUAUGGACGUUCCAAGAAUUUGUAUAACGUUCUAUGCUAUUAUAGGGUCUUGUUGACACCGUCGUUGUCGGCGAGUCACGCGGAGAUCGAAUUGGGAAAAGAAUUGUGCUUCCACGUACAUUUCCUGGUGGUGAUCGCGACAUGCAACGGAGGUUCUUGGAUGCUAUGGCAAUAGUGCAGCGGUGGGGUAAACCGGAUUAUUUUAUCACGAUGACGUGCAACCCAUAUUGGGAGGAGAUAACCGAUAAGUUGUUGCCUGGACAGCUGCCGCAGGACCGUCCAGACCUGGUGGCAAGAGUAUACAAGGCUAAACAGUGAGAUAUGAUGGACUUACUAACUAAGGGUAAGCAUUUCGGAGAAGUCGCAGCCUAUGUACAUGUAACUGAGUUCCAAAAGCGAGGUCUCCCGCAUGAGCAUAUACUUCUAAUCAUGAAAGUAAAAAGCAAGUUAUCGACACCAGAUGACUAUGAUUGAGUGAUAUGUGCAGAGAUACCGGACAAAGAGAAACACCCCGUUCUACAUGAACUGGUCGUCAAACACAUGCUGCAUGGACCAUGUGGCGAGUUGAAAAAAAUUUGCCCUUGCAUGAUUGAUGGUCAGUGUCGGUUUCAUUACCCGCGAGAUUUUUGUGAUGCCACACAACAAGGGAAAGACUCAUAUCCCAUCUAUAGGCGGAGGGACGAUGGGCGUCGAAUUAGGAUCAGAGGAGCAGAUUUGGACAAUAGGUGGGUGGUCCCUUACAACCCUUCACUACUUAUGCGAUACAACUGCCAUAUUAAUGUGGAAGCAUGCUCGAGCAUCAAGGCAGUCAAGUACUUGUUCAAGUACAUCUACAAAGGUCAUGAUCGUACAUCCUUUGCAUUCGAGCAGGAUAUCAUCAAUGAUGGUGGAAUCAUUAAUGAAAUCCGACAAUAUAGGGAUGCACGAUACGUAUCUCCUUCAGAGGCUAUUUACAGGAUUUUUGGUUUUAAAAUGUUUGGUGUCAGUCCAUCUGUGCUACAACUCCAGCUUCAUUUGCCAAAUAUGCAUACAGUUGCAUUUAAAGCAUGUGAGAAUCUUGCAGAUGUUGUAGCUCGACCAUCUUCUUCAAAGUCCAUGCUUACAGAAUACUUUGAGAUGAACCGGAAGUUUCCAACUGCACGAAAAUGGUUGUACGGAGAGUUUCCAGAACAUUAUAGAUGGAUACCUGGAAAUAAGAAGUGGCAGAAUAGAAGAAAUAAGAGAUCACAGAUUGGAAGACUUGUGCAUGCACACCCUGCUGAAGGAGAGAGGUACUACUUGCGUGUGCUCCCAAGUCAUGUCCGAGGUGCCACUUCAUUCGAUGAUUUAAAAACAGUAAAUGGCAAGCCAUGCAGUUCCUUCAGGGAGGCAUGUGAGCACUUAGGCCUUAUUGAGCACGACAGGACUCUUGAUGAUUGCAUGACGGAGGCAGCCACAUUGCAGAUGCCUUCUGCCCUAAGACGGUUAUUUGCAACUAUACUGGUGUUUUGCGAGGCAACAGAAAUCCGGCAGCUGUGGGACAAACACCUGGCAUCAAUGUCUGAGGAUUACCGGCGUAAUCAAUCCAAUGAGGCAACACUUGAGCAGAUGGUCCUCAGAGAUAUCAGGGAUAUGUUGCAAUCCAUGGGAAAAGAUAUUACAAGCUAUGGACUUUCGAAUUUGGUUGAGAACGAUGGUUCUUCUGACGGUGAGUACAAAGAGGUAAUAGAGGAGAGGCAAGUCAGCGUGGACAAAGAACACCUAGAUUUAUUUAGUAGUUUGAACAAUGAACAGCUGGCUGGUUUCAAUGAAAUAAUGGAUCAUGUGAUGGAACACAAAAGCCAGAUAUUCCUUGUUGAUGGUCCAGGAGGCACCGGCAAGACAUACUUGUACAAGGCAUUGCUUGCAAAGGUGCGUUCGAUGGGCCAGGUAGCGAUUGCAACUGCUACAUCAGGUAUAGCGGCGUCAAUAAUGCCCGGAGGACGGACUGCGCACUCCAGGUUCAAAAUUCCAAUCAAGCUCACUGACAACAGCAUGUGUAGUUUCACAAAGCAGAGUGGUACAGCGGAGUUUCUUAAACAAGCCUCCUUGAUAAUUUGGGACGAGGUCGCUAUGACAAAACGUCAAGCAGUUGAGACGCUUGAUAGAUCCCUGCAGGACAUAAUGGACUGUUCUUUGCCAUUUGGGGGAAAGGUUGUCGUCUUUGGUGGGGAUUUCAGGCAGGUCCUCCCCGUUGUGACACGUGGGACAAGAGCACAGAUCACGGAUGCUACACUUCUAAGAUCCUAUCUGUGGGAGAAGACCCGGAAGAUACGCCUCACGCGCAAUAUGCGAGCACAAGAUGAUCCUUGGUUCUCUGAAUACCUCCUACGGAUCGGCAAUGGAACAGAAGAGACAAUUGGCGACGACUAUGUGCGUCUCCCUGACGACAUUGUGAUCGGCUAUACCGAGGAUGAGAAAGCUAUUAACACACUCAUUGACAAUGUCUUCCCAUCGUUGCAUGCCAAUGCUAGAUCGAGAGAGUAUAUGAGCACACGUGCUAUUCUUUCCACCAAGAACGAUCAUGUCGAUGACCUGAAUGACAAGAUGAUCUCCAGGUUUCCAGGCUCAGAAAAGUUAUACCAUAGCUUCGACUCCAUCGAGGAUGACUUGCAGAAUAAUUACACGAUUGAUUUUCUAAACUCGAUCACACCAAAUGGCUUGCCCCCGCAUGUGUUGAGAUUAAAGGUUAACUGCCCGGUCAUUCUGCUCCGGAACCUCGACCCUCAUAAUGGCCUAUGCAAUGGGACACGACUUAUGAUUAGAGCCUUCCAGGAUAAUGCAAUCGACGCAGAGAUUGUUGGUGGUCAGCAUGCUGGAAAGAGGGUCUUCAUACCUAGGAUCCCUAUGUCGCCCUCGGAGGACAUCUCACUUCCUUUCAAACUUAAGAGGAAACAGUUCCCCAUUCGCCUGAGUUUUGCGAUGACAAUUAACAAGGCGCAGGGUCAGACUAUCCCAAACGUCGGUAUUUACCUUCCCGAGCCAGUAUUCUCACAUGGUCAGCUAUAUGUUGCAUUGUCAAGGGGAGUGUCCAGAGAGACGACGCGGAUUUUGGCCAAGCCAAACAACGAGGUUGAUAAAUCUGGGAAAAGCACCAAGAACAUUGUCUAUAGAGAUGUUUUGGGGAGAUGAGGCAGGUGCGCUAUUCCGGCAUUUAUUUGCACCUUGUUAUUGUAUCUGUAACUACUUGUGGAUCUAACAUUAUUUGUUUUUAUUUGCAGGUUUAGCGAAGGAGAAUAAGCAGCAGAAGAGGAGGUAAGGUGGAUGAACACAAGGGUAUCUUCUUCGAUCGAGCAAAAGGUGAGAGCUCUGCUUCUCCAUCUGAUCGCCCCUGAUAUGUAUGUAAUGACCAGAUGGGGUACGCACGUGAUAUGUAAUAAUCAGAUGGAGUAGGCAUACAUAAUGAUAGUGCCUACACCUUUUUUCAGAUGAUAAGAGCAAAAUGUAUGCUACUGUGUUCUUUUUGAGCUUCCAUGCAUAAUAUUUUUCUAUGAGUAUAAUGUGCUAAUGUGCUGAUGUAUUGCAAUAUUUCAGGUUUUCAAGUUUGUCAGGUGAGAAACACUGCAUAGAAAAAAGGUUGAACAGACAUUCAUGGCAGGAAGAGGUAGAGGACAAAUUGAGUGUCGAGGUACUCCGUGAGAAAGAGGAUAAAGAAAGGAGUCAGCACAUGAAGAGAGGCACCCAAAGUUAAAAUGAUACAGUCCUAAUAACAUCAACAAUCUAUCAUAGUUAUUAGCUUUUGCUAUUCACUUGCUGUUUAGCCUAUAGUUCAGCAUCAGCUGAGAUUGUGCUCCACUUUUGGGCCAUCAGAUUUCCAUGUUCUGAUAAUUUACCGAAUGGGUUAUGUUUUAAUGUAACUGAUUUGGGUAUGCAACUGUUUAUGCAUAUAAUUCUGAAGAACACACAUCAUUGCUGUUAAUAAUAUAUUGUACACGACUUGCUUCUUGAUAAUGUCAAGCAUUAUUACUACUAUAUUGAACAUACGUCCAGGACAAAAGUUUGUUUUACCAGAAAAAUUUAAGCUGGUUGAAAUAACUAGCAUGUAUCUUCUCAUUGCAAAAUUUUAUUUUACACGUGAUCAGCAAUAAUAUAAUAUAAAACUUAAGUACGAAACUCACCACAGUGGAAAUCUGCUAUGUCAUCGUUUUAUCAGGCUCACAUCUCUUGGAACAACUUAAAGCAAUUCCCUGGCCCCUCCUGUCCAGCACAGCCACUGAACUAAACCUUCUGUAUCUGUAUAUAAAAAGGUAAGAGAAAACACACACAAAAUCAAAGAUACGUUCCGAUGAGCUGAAACCAAUAUUUUUGUAUUAAAAUGUAUCUACACUACUAUUAAAAGAGCAAACAUGAAUUCUCCUACAACCACACCACAAAAUGUACACAGGAUAACCUGCACCCCACGAUCAAUUACAUCUAAUGAAAUCUAACAGCACAGAUUCAUUCAGCGGUCUGCCAUCCGAUUGGAUGGCUCAGAUUCAAUGUUCUGCCACCCACGUCUGCCCCGCACACGUUCUGCCCUUCAGAUCGAUCGGCAUCACGAUUUUUUCUCGCUCAACGCCGCCGCACCUCCAUACGUCGCCCAACCCUAGCUCCGGUGGCUGCGCCGCCCAUGACGCUGACGAUUUCUACUGGGAUGUCGCGGACGAGCGAGGCGGAGUUCCAGGCCAUCAAGGCCGCCUACGCCGUCGAGUAGGCCAAGCCGCCUGCCCACGACACCGGCACCGGCGACGCCCAACACAUGGUCCCAACAGUCGGCGGUGCUACCUCGCCGUCAUGGAUCCUAGCCAAGGUAGAGCUCCCCUCUUCUUGUUUCCCAUAUCCCCUUUCUUUCAAAAUUCUGAACCCAAAGAUACAGAUCCACCGACGUUGCGCUUGGUCAUGGAAAUUGCAUCCUUGCACCAGUAUUAACAAGACGUCUAUAAUCCAUCUACCUGCAUGCUUAGGCUAGCCCUUGUGUACGCCGUGUUGCGGUAUGCUUCCAAUCGGUCAAGAAUAAAUCCAUCUUGUACGACGCAUACCUGUUGGAAAGCAUAAAGCACUCUGGUGAAUCACUUUGGGAGUUAAUGGUUGUGCCAAAACUUGGUACCAGAUCACAGGUUGUUCUUCCAUGAUUUUCAAAAAGCAAGCACAAGAUCAUGGUGUUACUGAAGUGAGAAGAUAAUUGAUCUAUAAUCCAGUUGUGUGUCAAGCCUGCAUCAAUAGUGUUGUAGUAUUGACAAAAACCAUGUCAAUGUUGCUACAUUUUCAUCACCAACAAUGAGAACCCGGUUUUGGUAAAUUAAUUUGUGUAAUAAUAUGUUCAUUACUGAUCCUGAACGAGGAGUAAACAGAUUAGUUUCUAAAGCUUCUCCGUUGGGAUGUGUAGGCCAGAAGGAUAGCUAGAGUCGCCGCCGUCGCUUAUGGAGCUCCACACCAUUGCCCAGUUGUACAAUAGCAUGUGCAAUCUUCUCCAUUCAAGACUAAGUGCAACUGAUGAACUCUUUGCCAAACAAGAAGAUAUGACUAUCAGGCAUAUAGGCCCCAUAAGGUAGCUAUAUAGUAAUUCACUUGUAGUAGUGUGGAUUAUGGUCACAUUUUGUCUAGGACUGCAGAUAUCUAUGUCAAUAAAAAUGGAUAUUCUGCAUAUUCUUCUGAAUUUUUAGUAAGGGCUCCAUGUAUAAGGUAUGCACUAUGCAGUAGUUCUGACCUGAAGCACUGAUCAAUUCUUCACAUGCAGGAACGUGGAGAGAUGGAUCUGGUGGAUUGUAGCCACAAGGUGAGUGGCUUGAUCCUUAAUUAAUCCAGUUAAAUUUCAUGGAUUAUUGAUUAGUUUUUUAGCAAGCAAAUUUCUGUACAUCUGAUUGGAGGGGUACUACUGUAGUAUGUGGAAGAAAGAGUAUGUCUGCACCUGAUGGUGAUCUGCCAAAGUUUUGUACUUUCUACGGUAAAUUUGUUACAUGAUAAUGAUAAUGAUAUACUGCAUCCGUAAAGAAAUAUAAGAGCAUUUAGAACACUAACGCUGUUAUAUUUCUUUACAGAGGGAGUACAUCCUAUACUGAACAGGAGCAAGACAGAAAAGAAUAAAAGAUUCUCUCCAAAUUAAUUACGGAUUGUUUCCUGUGAUUUUCAAUUCCAAGUAAUAAAGGAUAUAAGGUUACAAUUCAUCACCUGAAAAAACAGAUCUUUGUAGUCAUAGCUAUGUCUUCUCCAAGUGACCAUACCCUUAAGCAUUUGAUGAAAGUGGAUAUAUCAUCAAGAGCCCUGCAAGCAAAUUUAUCUACAACAGGAAACACACAAUGAUGACAUAUCAGAUAUUCACCUUCACUAUCUGAACUGUUUAAUGUUUACUUCCGCUUCUAAUGUUAGCUUAUCUAGCAAAUUUCUGUUAUUCUGAACAUCUAAUUGACUUUCAAAUAGUACAGGAGCGAGAUAUCCAGCUAUAAUUACAGUAGGGAUCGAUGCUAAUUAAACCUCUUGACACACUCAUUUGAAAGUCAAGUAUAUUUAUGCAGCGACGCCUUAUUACUCCUAAGAAGAUAUCAUUACUUCUGCCCAUAGGAAGAGAUAUUACACCAUCAGUUGAAUUUAGCUAAAUCUGCAGUUUUCAUUACAAUGCCUGAACCUUAUUUAUCUUGCUUCACAAAAAAAGAGAGGAUGAAGUACCCAUCUUCCAGUCAUCUGGCAAGCAACAGUCCAGUUCAUAUUGCAUACCUUCUUAGCAAGCAUUAUCGAGUGCCAUUGUAUCCUGAAUAACACAAUUUUUUUGAGGAACCGACAGGAGCGCUGCCUUUUCAUUAAGAAGGGGGAAAUAUGUAGAGGUAUCUUGAAUAGCACAUCACACAGAGGCACACCUAAUUGAAAUUACAUUUGUACAUUAGUACAUGGUAAACGCACAGAAUGAAUUAAAAUUUAAUUGCAAAGAUAGGAUAAUCCAGACACGAAGUAAUGUCUAAGGACUACGAUCAAAUCAGAAUUAAUCCUGAUGGUUAAUACAGCGAUGAGAAUUCAUUUCAUAACAUUAAUAUAUUAUUGACUUGUGCAAAUUGCAAAAUAAUCAAUCAGUACACUAGCUAAGGAAAGCUGGAGCUGAGCCGUGAGAAUCAAUUAGAGAGAUAAAAUGUGAGAACAUGCAAUGGUCAUAUCUUACUGGCUCCUACACAUCUUCGCGGAGGCUGGUGAACUGGCUGGGAGGUGGCCGUAUCUCACUGGCUCCUGCACAUCUCCACGGCUCAGCUGAAGCGAUCUAUUAUUAGCUCAUUCCACAAGCAACAGAGAGAAGGAAGCAACAAUUGAUUUGCUCAUACCAGUGGAGGCAUCGAACUGUGCCCAGAUAUUGUUGCGCACCCACGCCCGCUCCUUGUUGGCUUGUUGCGGGCCUCGGCGCCCGCCUCGCGCUGGGUCGCCUGUGAGUGCGCUGAGCUCGAGCGCCUCCUUGGGCACUUCGGCGAACGGAUUCGAAGAAGGACGGGGAAGAGCAGGGGCGGGGAAGUCGCGCGCAUCCGACGGAGCCUAACGCUAGGAUGCUCGCGAGCAUGCCGAGCUGGCCAGCUGGGGGACCUCCUCGGCCACUUGGGCGACUGGAUUCGAUGAAAACGCGGGGAAGAGAAGGGGUUGCGAACCUCUUGCUAGCGGUGGGGACGAAGGGGAGGGGUGGCCUGACGAGGUGGAGAGAGGGAGCUGGCGACCAAGGAAGAAUGGGGAACGACGGGGAGAAAUGUGAGGGGCGGUGGGAAGGUAGGUGACGGUGUGGCUAAUUGAAGGUAGGUGGCGAUGCUAGAUGCAUUGAUAUGGGUCAGGAAAAUUAUCAAAAGUCCAAUCGAUCC